RNA transcript from Cinclus cinclus, 6777 nucleotides. It is a transcript of the gene named dpy-19 like C-mannosyltransferase 3, with no coding region annotated. NCBI's taxonomy places the organism in Eukaryota, Metazoa, Chordata, Aves, Passeriformes, Cinclidae. The record is from RefSeq and is a predicted model, not a curated record. The transcript has 21 exons.
CUUCCUUGUCCCUGUCCCUGUCCCUGUCCGCGGCGGGGCCCGGGCCGCUCCCCAGCACGGACCGCAGGUGUGCUGCAGACCGGCUCUUCCGAAGCGUGAGCUCGCGUAGCUCCCCGUGUGCUUUUGCCAGGAGUCAGGCUGAAGAAUAAUGAAUUAAAGUGACUGACAUCAUGACAACCAUAAGACAGAGGAGGGUUGGAAAAGGCACAGAAGCAGCUGAAGAUCAGCCUUCAGAGGAGACAAAUGUGAAGCCUGAUGGGAAAAUUCCACCUGAUCCUCCAGGUGGUAAGCUGUGGAACAUACUGUCAAUAACUGUUGGUGGAAUUGUUGCCAUCUCUCUUGGACUUCUUACUUCUGUUUAUGUGGCUACACUACAUGAAAAUGACCUGUGGUUUUCCAAUAUCAAGGAAGUCGAAAGAGAAAUUUCAUUCAGAACUGAGUGUGGACUUUAUUAUUCCUACUACAAACAGAUGAUUCAGGCUGCUUCUAUACAGCAAGGUUUACAUGGUUUAGUAUAUGACAAUAAAACUGAAUCUGUGAGGACAAUUAACAUACUUGAAAGAAUGAAUGUUUACCAGGAGGUGUUUCUCAGCAUUCUGUAUAGGAUUCUUCCAAUUCAGCAAUACCUAGAGCCUGUUUAUUUUUAUAUCUACACUUUGUUUGGACUUCAGGCAGUUUAUGUCAUUGCUCUGUAUGUAACAAGCUGGCUUCUUAGUGGAACAUGGCUUUCAGGGUUGUUGGCAGCUUGCUGGUAUAUUACAAACAGAGUGGAUACUACAAGGGUAGAAUUCACCAUUCCUUUAAGGGAGAACUGGGCACUGCCAUUCUUUGCUGUUCAGAUAGCAGCCAUCACAUACCUUCUCAGAACUCAUUUACAGCCUGCUCAAGAAAGGCUCACACUCAUGGCUGUAUUCAUGGCAACGUUUCUCUUUAGCCUGACUUGGCAAUUUAACCAGUUUAUGAUGCUGAUACAAGCAUUGGCAUUAUUCACACUGGACUGCUUGGACAUGCUUCCCACAGCAAAGGUUACAUGGCUCUAUAUAAUUCAGAUUUCUGGAUUAUUGCUGGUCUGUGUCCUACAGUUCUUCAAUUCUAUGAUUCUUGGAUCAUUACUUAUAAGUUUUAAUGUUUCUGUCUUAAUAGCAAGAACAAUCCAGAAAAACCUAAAAAGGGGUGGCUUGCUUAAUAGGCUUGGGAAACUUAUCCUCCAUGUUCUACUAGUCUUGUGCUUGACUCUCCUAAUAAAUAAAUUAAUUAAGAAAAUUCUUAAUCUUGAGUCAGAUGAGCAUAUAUUCAAAUUUCUGAAAGCAAAAUUUGGAUUUGGAGCAACAAGAGAUUUUGAUGCUAACCUGUAUCUUUGUGAAGAAGCCUUUGGUUUACUACCUUUAAAUACUUUUUCAAGACUCUCCAGUACAUUACUUUUCUACAUCUAUGGAUUUGUUCUCUUCCUCCUGACAGUAGCAGCUGUAAUUGUUGCCUUUCGGAACCUCAGUGGUUCAAAUCAAGUCCAGUUAAAGGAAAAAAUGGGAGAAUACACAGUGACACUGAAGCCUGAUGCUGCCUAUAGCUUAGUUCACACAGUUCUUUUUGGAUGUCUGGCAUUAAGCACAAUGAGGAUGAAGUACCUCUGGACAUCCCACAUGUGUGUAUUUGCAUCCUUUGGCCUGUGCAGUACAGAGGUUUGGAAACUCAUCCUCAAGUGUCUCCAUCUCUACACAUCCCACAGGACACAGGUGCUUAAGUAUUCUGUACCAAUAAUUACAUUACUGUACAUUUCAUUUAAGUUCUGGCCAGGAAUAAUGGAUGAACUAUCAGAGCUGAGAGAAUUCUAUGACCCAGACACUGUGGAGCUGAUGAACUGGAUUAAGUCAAACACUCCAAACACAGCAGUGUUUGCUGGGAGCAUGCAGCUGUUGGCAGGAGUCAAGCUGUGCACUGGACGGACCUUAACCAACCAUCCCCAUUAUGAGGAUAAGAAUCUGAGAGAGAGAACAAAGCAGAUUUACCAGAUCUAUGCCAAGCGAUCUCCCAGUGACGUGCACGGAAUCCUGCGCUCCUUCGGCACGGACUACGUGAUCCUGGAGGACAGCAUUUGCUAUGAGAGGAGGCACAGCAGGGGCUGCCGCCUGCGCGACCUGCUCGAUGUAGCCAAUGGCCACAUCAUGGAUGGCUUGGGAGAGAAUGAACCUGAUUUGAAACCUUCACUGUAUCCUCGCUUCUGUGAGGAAAUAAAAAAAACCCUUCCUUCUUACACCGUGUAUUUCACCAGGGUGUUUCAAAACAAAACAUUCCAUGUUUACAAACUUGCCAAGCAUAAAUAAUAUUUCCAACCGUGACUUCAGUAUUUCACUGCUAGGACCCACAUUAGGAAAUUCAGAUGAAGUUUACAAACAGGUUACAAUUUGUAAGACAUUUUACACCAAUGGUUUCUUGUUUAAUUACUGUGAUGCUUUUUUUUUAGAUUUUUUUUUAAAUUUUGAUAACAUUAUUGACAUUGCCAAAAUAUUCAUAAAUAAAUGCUAUCAGGGACCAUUUCAGUUAUAAAUUCUGACCCUUGGAAUAUUAGAUUAUAAUUGUUUUGCAGUUGCAACUGAUUGGAAGACAAAGGCAAAAGCAUGUGGGAGCACUGCUGAGUGCCAGCCUGUGAAUCUGCUCAGCAGUUCAGAUUUUCCCCUUAAAUGGUAGAAAUUCAGUGAAAGCAGCCCAUGCUGCUCCUGCCCUGAGUAAGCAUUGUCUUUGUGAAUCCUAAAAUUAGUCACAAAAUGAAGUUUUGUCUUACAGUCUGAUCCUUUUUGACAGAACCAUGUGCUCUUUCAGUGCCUCUUUUUUGAAUUCUUUGGGAAUGUAUGCGGAUAUGAGUUUCCAGUCUUGUGAGUGUGAUUGCAGAAUCAGUGAGUGCAGAUUAAGCAAACAGUUUUGAAGAAAAAACUUUAAUCUUCCUUCGGUCCAGCAUUUUUAGUGAUCAGAAACAAACUGGUUUGUAACAUUUAGUGUUUAACGAUGGAGUGUUAGGUAUUUCUAGUGAGAAAAAAGGCUGGAGCAUGCUUGAUACGUGUUGCAUGUUUGUAUCCUUGUAAAAUGCUCAGAAUAAACAGAAAUCCAAAUUUCUCAGUUUGGAUUGUCACAACACUUCCUGUAUAUACUUUCUGAAGUACAGGGGAUCCUUUUUCUCCUUGUGUGACUCCCACUAGGAUAGCAAAAUUGGACAAAAGGAAAACUCAUCUCUAAAUCAUCAGGAAACCAGUAUUUCAAAUACAUUCAGAUAGUAGAGCCUUGUUUUGUAUUAUUUCAGACACAAAGCUCUAUAUUUUAGCACAAAAUCAUUGUGUCCUUGUUCUUUAGCCUAAAACAGAGACUACCAAUAUUUUAAAAUUACAUGGAAGAUUAAGUGAAGGCAGACCUCAAUGCUGAGAAUUCCGUGAUUUGUUUGUACCCUUUGUCUUUUUACCAGCCUGAACUUUGUGAUUUGUAUCAGAUUUCUAAAUGUUAUGAAGGUACCACAUCGCCUUUCCUGUGUUUUUAGCACUGCUUUGGUUUUAGAUUUAAAUCAGAAAUCAAAUUUGGAAGCCUCACAGUAUUCUCCUUCUUGAAUGAGACAUCCACUAGGCUCAUUUGUUUCUUAAUUUGUUUCUUAAUUCUUAAAUUGUAAUAAUCAAGUGCCUCUAGGCCCAGGUUGAAUUAACAUUUGAACACCUAUAAGAGUGUUUGUGGCCUGUGCAAAUAACUCAGUUAUAGUAAUUACCACUGCAAUUAAUUUCUAAUGAUGAGAAACUUAAAGUGCUACAGAUAGCAAACUCCACAUUUAAUUUAAUCAAGAUGUGUAAUGAGAUUAGCUGUCACAACUGAGCUGGGCUCCAAUUCCAAAUGAUUUAAGUGUUUUCCCUUUCAGUUGUACCAAGGUAAAUUACUGAAGAGAUGGAGAUGGUUAUGUCACAUGCUCAAACAAUUUUAUAUUCAGUAAAUAGUCAUUAAACAAUGUUCAACAUCCUUCUGCCUUUCUCUCUGGCACAGAAGGCUGUGCUGUAGCCAGGCUGUGUUAAAUCACAUGCUGACAGGAGCUGGGUUGUUUCACUGAGCAGCUGAAACUCCUGAGUAAUUCCUAGCCUGUAUCCUUUAAUGAGGUUGAAGACCACUGCAGUUUAACAUAAUACAAUAAUAAAGCACUUUAAUCAGUAUUAAAACUUUAAUUAGGCCUGUAAUGAUGCAUGGUGGUUCUUGCUGCAAGCCUGGGUCAGUGAAUCCCCCAAUGAGUGCCUUCAGUAAUUGAAAACAAGCACACAAAAGGUAAAAUAUGUCGGGGCUCUAUGGCUUCUAGAAGGCAAUAGGAUCUUUCUGGAAAGGUGCACUAACUUUCCUUGGGUGGAGGGGAGGGAUUCCCAGGCCCAGUCAUAGCCUGUUGUCUUCAGAAGUUACUUGUAGGCAACAGCUGAGAAUAAGAAAUCCUGACUGGAACAGUAAUUAUUUUUAAACAGACUUGUUUCAAAAAUGCAGUCUCUAGUAUGGCCGAAGGAGAAAUUUAACCUUUUCACAGAAACUACCAAGUGCAAACUGGUUUGUUUGGGUUGUUUUAGAUAGGAAGAUGUGUUACGAGAGAUUAUCAGAAAGGUUUAACACGAAGGGAUAUUCCAGGGGCUGUAGUGCAGCACUGGGACACCAGCCUGCUCGAACAGUAAAUCCCAGAGCAGCUCCCAGCUCCGAGGGAGCAGCUGCUCCCUGCCCCUUUGGACAACAGGGGAGGGGCUGGGGGGGAAGGGCUGCACCUCCCGUUCCUGAGGUGCCAACUCCCUGAUCCCAGCAGUGGGAAUGGCAGCGACAGGGCUCCUCCUGUGGGCUCCUUGGUGGCCACAAGGACUUUGUGCUGCAGGUAAUCAGUGGGAUUGUGGUAAAAAUUACCUUUUUUAGAUUGCAGAGACUAAACGCUAUCAAGGAGCCAGGACUUUUUUAGGACAGAAAAGCCUUUGAGAUCCACACUUGUAUUUUCAUUUCUUGUUUUCAGUGUUCUGCUGGUGGGAUCUAACAUAGUUAUUUUAUAAUAUGUUGUUGUAAAGAGAUGUAAUGACUAUUGUAUACUAAAUAAAUUGUGUAAUUUGAAAGUCAUGUUUUUUGCUUGAUUUUAUGUUGGCAUGGGUUGAGAAAGACCUGGUUUGGGAACCAGCUUUGCUUCAGUCUGAUGGAGGAAAGCAAAAUAUUUUCCAUGAGGAAGUUUGGGCUUUUCAAGCUCAUUAUAUUGUGUAUAGCACUGACUUCAGUAUCACCUUUGUAUUUUAACAGCUCACUGGGCUUCCUCUGUCAGAAGGCAAAGGUACCAGCCUUUUUCAGAUUUCACCAGCCUUCACCAGAUUUUUACCAGUCAUCACCCUGUGCACAUCAGCUCCAGGUUCCUGGGCACCACUUGUGCUUGUUGUCACUCUCACCCAAGGACCAGUCCAGUUCCUCAGGGAUGGAAGAAGAGCUUGGACGAGGUCUUGUUCACCCGGGGAAACCCCAAAGUGUUCUUUGGGUGGGUAACUGCAGCCUGAGCCCACCAGCUGGAACUUCUCAGCCAGCACAGCACCCGUGACUCACAUCUGUGGAAGCAUCUGAUCAAACCUGAGAGAGAAAUAAUUCAACAGACUCCACCCUUCAGUCAUCCUUAAACAAGGCAAAGACACCCGGGACAGAAGGCUGAUUUAUUAUUUAUAGGGUGCCUGAGAUAGGCAGGACACUUCACAGGCAAAUAAAGACAGUGUUGGCCCCAAGGAGCUUACAGACUAAAAUAAAUUAAACCCAGCCAAAGCAACAGCAUGUCCACAGGUUUGGGAAGAAUACAAGGUCUGUAGACAAAAUUAUUGCUGUUUCAGGAAGGAAUAGAUUUUUGUACAUAAUAUAUAUUUAGUUCAUUUUCCAUAUCCUGCUUGUGACUGCCGAGAUCAUGGAAUAUAGGAGGUGGCACACUGGACUGGUGAACACUGCAAGAUGUUUCAGCCAAGGUUUUCUCCCAGGUAAAUAAAUGUGUCAGUAAAAUUACAAAAUCACAGACUCUGUAAUGUCUGUGAACCAAAACCAUUGGGUGUGAGUAAGAACAGGAUUUAGGUUUUCCAGAGGACAAUGCCCACCACCUGCAGUGUGUAACCAGUGCUUAAUGGUGCACUCAAGGUUUUCCAGAGAGUGGCACAAAUGCACGUGAGAACAAGGUACCGUGUGAACAUUUCUCAUUUGGGAAACAUGCAAACUGAGCUGGCCUGCAGACAGCAUUCACCUAACUUAUAGGUUUUAACAGAUGUAUAAAAAUAAAAGCCAGACCUCCCAAAACAAGCUCCUGUGAGCAAAGCAGUUUUAAUGUCUGUUACAAUACAUUGUUUCAUGCUUUGUUUUAAUGAAACAAAUUAUUAGAAACUAGGAUAUAGUCAUCUUACUAGCUCAUAAUAUAUAAUGUACAUAUUACAUAUAGUUUACAUAUUAUAAUAGAUAUAAUUUAUAUAUGAUACAUAGAAGAAACAGCACAGCUUAAGCUUUUGGGUUUGCUGCAGUGUACUCCAUUUAUUUGUACAAGUGAUCUCAAAAAAAAAAAAAUAGUGGCACCUUCUCUCUUCCAAAUACUGUCAAUUUUAAGAAAACUCCAGCAGAGUAGCUGGACAUUAAAUGGUUUGAAAAAUGGACUGAUUAAUUUAAAGCAUAAUAUUCCACCCCCUGCAACUGCUGUUAGUUUUUCCCUGUGUUUCUCUGUCCCAAGAGAUGUCCUGCAAUACUUCUAUCAAAGGAGAUUUAACAAAACAUGAUCAACAGAGUUGUAGACGC